This 1439-nucleotide ribosomal RNA is filed under the name metagenome. RNAcentral describes it as "bacterial LSU rRNA". It matches the Rfam family "Bacterial large subunit ribosomal RNA", at positions 1506 to 2925 of the family's 2925-position model. The record is from RNAcentral.
CCUGGGGAAAGGAGGUAGGCAUGAUUCUUAGGCAAAUCCGGGAAUCUCUAUGCCGAGCACCGAGACGAGUCCUAUGAGGACGAAGUGACUGAGACCACGCUUCCAGGAAAAGCCACUAAGCUUCAGCUGUAGAAAAACCGUACCGCAAACCGACACUGGUAGGCAGGGUGAGAAUCCCAAGGCGCCUGAGAGAACUCGGGUGAAGGAACUAGGCAAAAUGGCACCGUAACUUCGGGAGAAGGUGCGCCCUUUGGUGUGGUCACGUGCGUGACUGAGCAUCGAAGGGUCGCGGUAACCUGGCCGCUGCGACUGUUUAUCAAAAACACAGCACUCUGCAAACACGAAAGUGGACGUAUAGGGUGUGACGCCUGCCCGGUGCUGGAGGGUUAAUUGAUGGGGUCAGCCGCAAGGCGAAGCUCUUGAUCGAAGCCCCAGUAAACGGCGGCCGUAACAAUAACGGUCCUAAGGUAGCGAAAUUCCUUGUCGGGUAAGUUCCGACCUGCACGAAUGGCGUAACGACAGCGGCGCUGUCUCCACCCGAGACUCAGUGAAAUUGAAAUCGCUGUGAAGAUGCAGCGUUCCCGCGGCAAGACGGAAAGACCCCGUGAACCUUUACUAUAGCUUUACAUUGAACGUUGAGUUCUUCUGUGUAGGAUAGGUGGGAGGCUAUGAAACCGAGACGCUAGUUUCGGUGGAGCCAUCCUUGAAAUACCACCCUGAAGUGCUUGACGUUCUAACCUAGGUCCGUAAUCCGGAUCGGGGACCAUGUAUGGUGGGUAGUUUGACUGGGGCGGUCUCCUCCCAAAGAGUAACGGAGGAGCACGAAGGUACGCUCAGCGCGGUCGGACAUCGCGCACUGUGUGCAAAGGCAUAAGCGUGCUUGACUGCGAGAUCGACGGAUCAAGCAGGUACGAAAGUAGGUCUUAGUGAUCCGGUGGUUCUGUAUGGAAGGGCCAUCGCUCAACGGAUAAAAGGUACUCCGGGGAUAACAGGCUGAUACCGCCCAAGAGUUCAUAUCGACGGCGGUGUUUGGCACCUCGAUGUCGGCUCAUCACAUCCUGGGGCUGUAGCCGGUCCCAAGGGUAUGGCUGUUCGCCAUUUAAAGUGGUACGCUAGCUGGGUUCAGAACGUCGUGAGACAGUUCGGUCCCUAUCUGUCGUGGGCGUUGGAGAUUUGAGGGGGGCUGCUCCUAGUACGAGAGGACCGGAGUGGACGUUCCGCUGGUGUUCGGGUUGUCAUGCCCAUGGCAUUGCCCGGUAGCUACGAACGGAAGUGAUAACCGCUGAAAGCAUCUAAGCGGGAAGCACGCCCCAAGAUGAGAUCUCCCGAGAGCUAGACUCUCCUUAAGGCACCAUCAAGACUAGGUGGUUGAUAGGCGCGGUGUGGAAGUGCAGCAAUGCAUUGAGCUUACGCGUACUAAUGAGCCGUGAGGCUUGAUC